This is a long non-coding RNA of Salvator merianae (Argentine black and white tegu), 1677 nucleotides long. Lineage: Eukaryota; Metazoa; Chordata; Lepidosauria; Squamata; Teiidae. The record is from Ensembl.
GUUCUCAUUCUCGUCCCCCUUAUUAUAUGGGGACAUAAUAAUACCUUUGCUCCUUUGGCAGGAGAACACCCAGCGUUAUUUACUGGGGUAAAUCAGGUCCCGAGUAAGAAGGACUUUGUUCUGUGUAGACAGGAUUGGGCCCGCUCCCCUUCUCUGCUUCCCACGUGGGCCUUCAGCACCUCCCGCCUGCUCCUUUGCCUCCCCNGCCUUCUCUGCUGCCCAGAACCUCUUCUGUCCCCCCAGCUGCUGCCACUGGGUCCUUCAGAACCCCUCCUAUGCUGCCGUGUCCUUCCCUCCCUCCUUUUUAGAAACAGGGAAAAUGCACCUUCAGGGGUGAAGGCCAUCCUCCCAAGAAGGCUUCCCAAUGCACAGGAGACUUUUGUGGAUUUCCACUUAUUUAUUUAUUCGUUUACUGUCCAGCAGACCCGGCCUGACAGUUUUCUGGAUGACUUCCAGUCAACCUGAUGCAUCCCGUUAAUGUUACUUAAUUUUCUCUCAGUUUGCCUCAUGACUGAUUCACGGGUCUGCCCAGCAUGUCCGUUCUGUGUGUCCCCUGCCGCCGGCCUGCUGCCACUUCUGGACUGCCCUUGGCCAUCCGCUCCUUCUGUGCGCCUCCCCUCGGGAUGCCAAGCGCAGGUAUCCGUGGAACGCAGGCAGACAGUUGGCUUGGGAGCUGUACAGAGAAAAGGCUGCAGUGCUGUUUGCCGAGCGGCCGCCAGGGCUGGCCAGGAAGUGGCACCCUUGAUGGCUUACAAAAUAUAAAGAACCCCACCCUGAACUGAAAAAAUAUGAAACCCCAGUUGUGAAAACAGCCGNCCCUGCUCGGAUUUCAGCGCUUUUUGCUUCAGGCAGACGGGCAGAAGAGGGGCUGCCAGUCUCUCCCCUCCCGCCAGGGGAUUCUGGAGCCUGGGAGAACAGUUUUCUGCAAAGGUGCCCCUGAGGGUGGGGCCCCGGGAGGAGGGUCUCUCUGGCUGACCCAGACACCNGGCUNGUUCCUGAGUUGCGCAGGCCUCAGAGGCCAUAGCUAGCAGCAGAGAAAGCUGUUCUGUCCGGGAGCCGCAGAAUCCUUGCCGCAAGCUCUGUCCACGGCUGCAGCAUCCUGCAGCAGCUCCCUCAGGCUUCUCAAAGGCAGCGCAAAGGCCUAGAGCAUGUUCCAGCAGGAGUGCAGCUGGGCGGCCACCCAGCCCUGGCGCCUUACCCAUGCAAAGGCCUCCUCCUGGCCGCCCACAGCGUCUGAGAGGUCAUGGCAGGUCCAGCCAAAAACGACCUUCAGCUUUCUUUUGGCAGUCUUUUCCAUCGUUGCCCAGUUCCUGCCGGCUUGGAAGUACCUUAACAGGGGGCUUGUGGGACACCAGCACCGGCAUCUGUUUGAUGCCAUCAGUUAGGUCUUGCCCGUGCUGACGUGCCCUGGCGAAGGCCCCCAAGAGACUGCCCUCUGGUGGAAACCAGAGAGGCAGCGUGGAGUUUUCCCCAAGGGAGGCAGUCUGGAUAUUGUGUCCACAGGCUGGGAGCUUGGCUUCGCUAUAGGUAAAAGAUCUCAGGAUACUUUGCCACUCCUGGUGCUUUUGACCGUCAAGCAUCACGUGCCACUAACCAUUUUAUUUAUUAUAUUUUUCAUUCCGUCCUGUGCUGGAGGGUCUCAGGACAGGUUGCAGCGGUAAAAACAACAGAAGUGCC